RNAcentral lists this long non-coding RNA (1156 nucleotides) under Monodelphis domestica (gray short-tailed opossum). RNAcentral's name for it is "lncRNA (ENSMODG00000031709.2)". The record is from RNAcentral. Lineage: Eukaryota; Metazoa; Chordata; Mammalia; Didelphimorphia; Didelphidae.
AGGGAGGAAUGAACAAGAGCAAGCCCAGUGGGAGAGAUGACUGACCAGGAAUAUCGUGGGGAGAAAGGGGAGGCUCCCUCCUGCUAACACGGCUUCUCUGGUCAGUCCUUGGAGAUUCAUAGGACCAAAGGGUUUCAAGGGAGUGCUAAGAGACCUUAAGCAUCAGGAUCAAGUCCAGACCUCUCAAUGGACAGAGAAGCUUAUUCAUUUAAAAUCAUCCUGAGAAUGGCUUCACCAGACUACGAGAAGGUUAAGAACUACUGAACAUCCAGUCCCAGGCUUCCAAGCUCCAGCCAAGGAGUCCAAAGACAGGGAUGAUUGGUGAAUGGGCCUCUUCAACUGACCACUCACCAGUCUAUCAGCUCUAGGUCAAGUUUGGGUACUACACUACCCCAGUUGUUGACCUUGGAGGCCCUUCUCGCCCAAGUACACAAAUUAAGCAGAACCAUCUUUGGUAGGAUAUCACCUGGGAUGCUAGGUGACCAUUUUUCAGGAAUAUUAAGAAGGCUUCACUGUCAUAGUGGAAAGAGUGACUACUUCAAAUCCCAGCUUUGCUGAUCACUAGCUAUGAGAUCUCAGUAACAUCAACAUCAUCAUCAUCCUUCAAUGUUUCUUCAAUGGAUAUGAUCUGUUCCAUAGGAGGUAGGUUCAUUUUUGAAACUAGCAAUUGUUUUUCCACUCUAAUGGUUUGCCUAUUAGGUUGUUUGUUUUUAAGAAUCAGUUGCUAGUUUUAUUUACCAAUGCAAUGUUUUGUUUUUGUUUUUUGCUUUCAAUAUUAUAAGCUUUCUUAUUUUAAUUUUUUAAAUUUAAUUUCUCUUUUGGUGUUUACUUGGAAGAGCUGAUUGAUGCUCUUCUGUUUUUUUUUUUUUAGUUGAAUAUCCAAUCCAUUGAUCUUUCUUUAUCUUUUUGCUAAUGAAAAUGUUUUCAGAUAAAAAAAAAAUUCCCCUAAGGAUUACUUCAGUUGAAUAUUCAAAGUUUUAGGAAAAUAUGUAAUUGUCAUUUUCUUUAUGAAGUUAUCAAAUGGUUCAGUGAUUCAUUCUUUAGCCUAUCUGUUAUUUAGGAUUAAUUUAUUUAUCUCCAAUUAUUUUUAAUCCUCUCUUCAAAGAACUUUCAUUGGAUAUAACUUUAUUGUUUAUGGUCAGCAAAUUAUGGGCUU